UCGGGAGACGGGGACGUCCCUCCCCCUGGCGCGCGCCGCCGCCGCUGCCCAGCCCUUGCCUCCGGCGCGCGCGUGGAUUGACGGGGCGGACUGGACGGGGCGGACUGGACGGGGCGGGCUGGCUGGUGCUAGGAAGGAAACACUGUACGCUGGGGCGACAGGACAGCUUCGUCCCAAAUUUCAUUCCAUUCCCAGUAAGCAUCUGCCUUUGAAGAAACAGCAAAACCCUCCCGCACACUCACAUGGGCCCUUCUGGCAUUGCCCAGGAAGGGAACCCGAUUCUGGCUAGAGGCCCAGGAGCUCUGGCUUUGGUGGCGUAACCACAUUUACUUGUCCAAUGAUAAAAGAGUGGCAGCUCUGCAGCCCCUGACCUUUUUUUUUUUUUUUAAGAGAGAGAAAUUUUUGACAUUUAUUUUUUAGUUUUAGGCGGACACAACAUCUUUGUUUGUAUGUGGUCCUGAGGAUGGAACCUGGGCCGCACGCAUGCCAGGCGAGCGCGCUACCGCUUGAGCCACAUGCCAGCCCCUCACCUUUUAAACUAAGCAGAACUGGUGAUUCUUUAGAGUGUGAGCAGCAGCAGCAGCAGCAGCAGCAGCAGCAGCAGCAGCAGCAGCAGCAGGAGGAGGAGGAGGAGCAGCAGCAGCAGCAGCGGCAGCACCGCCUGGGAACUAGUUAGAAAUGUGAAAUCUGGGCCCUGUACCUGGCAUACUAAACCUGUACCCAACAUCAGGUGUUCAAACCAAUUCACUAGGGAGUUCUCAUGUAGCUCAAGUUUGAGAUCCACUGAUCCACACUUUCCUUUUUAUACUAGCAUUUUCGUUUGCUGCCCUUUGUGCUACAAGUGUGAAAUAAAACUCGGAUGCACGCUUUUUCUGA
This 876-nucleotide long non-coding RNA is filed under the name Marmota monax (woodchuck). Lineage: Eukaryota; Metazoa; Chordata; Mammalia; Rodentia; Sciuridae. The record is from RNAcentral.